Molecule: ribosomal RNA, 465 nt
Filed under: uncultured bacterium
Lineage: Bacteria
Description: partial 16S ribosomal RNA
Rfam family: Bacterial small subunit ribosomal RNA
Source: RNAcentral
GACGAACGCUGGCGGCGUGCUUAACACAUGCAAGUCGAACGGAAAGGCCCCUUUGGGGGUACUCGAGUGGCGAACGGGUGAGUGACACGUGAGUAACCUGCCCUUGACUUCGGGAUAACUUCAGGAAACUGGGGCUAAUACCGGAUAGGAAUCCUUGCUGCAUGGUGGGGGUUGGAAAGCUUCGGCGGUUUUGGAUGGACUCGCGGCUUAUCAGCUUGUUGGUGGGGUAGUGGCUUACCAAGGCUUUGACGGGUAGCCGGCCUGAGAGGGCGACCGGCCACAUUGGGACUGAGAUACGGCCCAGACUCCUACGGGAGGCAGCAGUGGGGAAUAUUGCACAAUGGGCGGAAGCCUGAUGCAGCAACGCCGCGUGCGGGAUGACGGCCUUCGGGUUGUAAACCGCUUUCAGCAGGGGCGAAGCUUGUGGUGACGGUACCUGCAGAAGAAGCACCGGCUAACUACGUG